RNAcentral lists this ribosomal RNA (274 nucleotides) under uncultured bacterium. RNAcentral's name for it is "partial 16S ribosomal RNA". It matches the Rfam family "Bacterial small subunit ribosomal RNA", at positions 523 to 796 of the family's 1533-position model. The record is from RNAcentral.
AUACGGAGGGUGCGAGCGUUAAUCGGAAUUACUGGGCGUAAAGCGUACGUAGGCGGUUGGUUAAGUUAGAUGUGAAAGCCCCGGGCUUAACCUGGGAACUGCAUUUAAAACUGGCGAACUAGAGUUGAGUAGAGGGGAGUGGAAUUUCAGGUGUAGCGGUGAAAUGCGUAGAGAUCUGAAGGAACACCAGUGGCGAAGGCGAAUCCCUGGACUCGAACUGACGCUGAGGUACGAAAGCGUGGGUAGCAAACGGGAUUAGAAACCCCAGUAGUCC